GAAAUAUGAAGACUCAAAAAAAAGCUUCUAACUUUUAUUUUAAACGAUUAAAUUUCGUUUAUAUUUCU
Molecule: transfer RNA, 68 nt
Filed under: Dentathalia scutellariae
Lineage: Eukaryota; Metazoa; Arthropoda; Insecta; Hymenoptera; Athaliidae
Description: tRNA-Ser
Source: RNAcentral